GCGUGGGGGCAUCCUGGCCUCUCUCCUCUGCCGGUAACGUUGCCAUGGGCCACGUGAAAAGGCCCGCGCCGCAUGACAUCUCCUUUUCUGGGCGCGCGCCUAUCGCGAUGGCGAGUGGUGGCGACGACGCGCGGGGCCGGCCUGGCGACAUCUCCUUUUCAUUGCCUCUCGCUGGUUUCCAAGGCGCCGGACCGCGCGCGCCGCGGCUGGGACGGGGGCAACGUGGGCAAGCCGCACGGGCGCUGCGGCGGGUGCUUUGCGUUGCGUUCCGUUGGUAAAUCAUCCAACAAACUUAUCCAGCUCUCACAGUUUUUAAAUAUAUGGGCGCUACUUUGUUAUUUGGAUCAGCUUCGACCUUCUUUUUCCUGGAACUCUUCUUCUUCCUUUGUAUAUAGUGACUUCACA
RNAcentral lists this unclassified non-coding RNA (405 nucleotides) under Zea mays. RNAcentral's name for it is "misc RNA Zm00001eb395550". Lineage: Eukaryota; Viridiplantae; Streptophyta; Magnoliopsida; Poales; Poaceae. The record is from RNAcentral.